RNAcentral lists this ribosomal RNA (253 nucleotides) under uncultured bacterium. RNAcentral describes it as "partial 16S ribosomal RNA". It matches the Rfam family "Bacterial small subunit ribosomal RNA", at positions 524 to 776 of the family's 1533-position model. The record is from RNAcentral.
UACGGAGGGAGCUAGCGUUGUUCGGAAUUACUGGGCGUAAAGCGCACGUAGGCGGCUUUGUAAGUUAGAGGUGAAAGCCCGGAGCUCAACUCCGGAAUUGCCUUUAAGACUGCAUCGCUUGAAUCCAGGAGAGGUGAGUGGAAUUCCGAGUGUAGAGGUGAAAUUCGUAGAUAUUGGGAAGAACACCGGUGGCGAAGGCGGCUCACUGGCUCGUAUCUGACGCUCAGGCGCGACAGCGUGGGGAUCAAACAGG